UUUUACAUCAAGCCAAAACUAUUCAAGGCACCAUGAAGUAAUCUUUUGUAAAUCAUCACAUUACGGUCACAUUAUUCGUAAUUCGUACAUUGAAUAUAAAAAAAAUUCUUGGCAUCAGGCUUAAGUUUUUCAAGGAUUCAAUAUCUACAAUGAGGUAGGCCUACACCUUAAACGUCCAAUGCUAUCAAAAAGGUCUUUCUAGAAUUCGGUUCAACAUUACAGACACUUGUACCUAAAUGUUUAGGGAAUUGUUUGGGGAUUAAAAGUUUAACUUUAUAAGUUAUUUAUUAUUUAUAAGGUUUAUUUGGCAAAAGGCAGAGUAUUGCCUUAGUAUUGUGAAGAGUGGGUUGUAGAUUACAUUAUAAUCACAAUGCUAAUCAUCGUACCUAACAGACCCAUGUCAUUUCUCGUAAAGUAUAACGAACACUUUCUGAUUACAAGGCCAGUUAUCACGCUAUGUUCUCAGUAAAGGCUAAGCAUUUAAAGCCAACACCUCAUAGUCAUCAUUACAACCCAAUCAGGGAACAAAUAGUGCUUUAGCUGGAAUCAAAUACCUAUCUUUUCCCUUUGUAAUAGGGUAAAAAUAAUUUGUAAACAAUUCAGCAAUGGAAGUAUUGACUUAACGGACAAACAUUAACA
This is a long non-coding RNA of Gadus macrocephalus (Pacific cod), 639 nucleotides long. RefSeq lists it as uncharacterized. The record is from RefSeq and is a predicted model, not a curated record. Lineage: Eukaryota; Metazoa; Chordata; Actinopteri; Gadiformes; Gadidae. The transcript is spliced from 2 exons.